GCACAACGCGAAGAACCUUACCCACCUUUGACAUGUACGGAAUCCUUUAGAGAUAGAGGAGUGCUCGAAAGAGAGCCGUAACACAGGUGCUGCAUGGCUGUCGUCAGCUCGUGUCGUGAGAUGUUGGGUUAAGUCCCGCAACGAGCGCAACCCUUGUCAUUAGUUGCUACGAAAGGGCACUCUAAUGAGACUGCCGGUGACAAACCGGAGGAAGGUGGGGAUGACGUCAAGUCCUCAUGGCCCUUAUAGGUGGGGCUACACACGUCAUACAAUGGCCGGUACAAAGGGCAGCCAACCCGCGAGGGGGGAGCCAAUCCCAUAAAGCCGGUCGUAGUCCGGAUCGCAGUCUGCAACUCGACUGCGUGAAGUCGGAAUCGCUAGUAAUCGUGGAUCAGCAUGUCACGGUGAAUACGUUCCCGGGUCUUGUACACACCG
Molecule: ribosomal RNA, 435 nt
Filed under: uncultured bacterium
Lineage: Bacteria
Description: bacterial SSU rRNA
Rfam family: Bacterial small subunit ribosomal RNA
Source: RNAcentral